GUGAGUAUACCAUAUCCGAUCUCAUACAUAGUGUAUAUGAUAAAAUAAAUUCUACUUAUAAACACUCUACGUACGUUUGACUGGGAUAAUCCAGGCAGCCUCUUAGAUCUAUCUCUAUAGAUCUUCAUCCCUAGGAUGAGGGAUACUUUUCCAAAGUCCUUUGUGGAGAACAAUGAUAAUAGCGAAACUUUUAUUCCCUGUA
This 202-nucleotide long non-coding RNA is filed under the name Elaeis guineensis (African oil palm). RNAcentral describes it as "long non-coding RNA (EGUI_LNC068256)". The record is from RNAcentral. Lineage: Eukaryota; Viridiplantae; Streptophyta; Magnoliopsida; Arecales; Arecaceae.